Molecule: ribosomal RNA, 401 nt
Filed under: uncultured bacterium
Lineage: Bacteria
Description: bacterial SSU rRNA
Rfam family: Bacterial small subunit ribosomal RNA
Source: RNAcentral
CCCGGGCAGGAAGGGGCUCUGACGCAGCCCGCCGCGUGAGCGAAGAAGGCCUUCGGGCCGUAAAGCCCUGUCGAGCGGGACGAAAAAUCAUUAGGUGAAUAGCCUAGUGAUCUGACGGUACCGCUAAAGGAAGCACCGGCUAACUCCGUGCCAGCAGCCGCGGUAAUACGGAGGGUGCAAGCGUUGCUCGGAAUUAUUGGGCGUAAAGGGUAGGUAGGUGGUCUCAUUUGUCUGGGGUGAAAGCCUUGAGCUUAACUCAAGAAGUGCCCCAGAAACGGUGAGACUAGAGUCUUGGAGAGGGUCGUGGAAUUCCCGGUGUAGGGGGGAAAUGCGUAGAGAUCGGGAGGAACACCAGAGGCGAAGGCGGCGACCUGGACAAGUACUGACACUCAACUACGAAA